This 266-nucleotide ribosomal RNA is filed under the name uncultured Staphylococcus sp. RNAcentral's name for it is "partial 16S ribosomal RNA". It matches the Rfam family "Bacterial small subunit ribosomal RNA", at positions 96 to 354 of the family's 1533-position model. Lineage: Bacteria; Bacillati; Bacillota; Bacilli; Caryophanales; Staphylococcaceae. The record is from RNAcentral.
CGGCGGACGGGUGAGUAACACGUGGAUAACCUACCUAUAAGACUUGGAUAACUUCGGGAAACCGGAGCUAAUACCGGAUAAUAUAUUGAACCGCAUGGUUCAAUAGUGAAAGACGGUUUUGCUGUCACUUAUAGAUGGAUCCGCGCCGCAUUAGCUAGUUGGUAAGGUAACGGCUUACCAAGGCAACGAUGCGUAGCCGACCUGAGAGGGUGAUCGGCCACACUGGAACUGAGACACGGUCCAGACUCCUACGGGAGGCAGCAGGG